AUUGAACGCUGGCGGCAGGCCUAACACAUGCAAGUCGAGCGGAUGAAGGGAGCUUGCUCCUGGAUUCAGCGGCGGACGGGUGAGUAAUGCCUAGGAAUCUGCCUGGUAGUGGGGGACAACGUUUCGAAAGGAACGCUAAUACCGCAUACGUCCUACGGGAGAAAGCGGGGGACCUUCGGGCCUUGCGCUAUCAGAUGAGCCGAGGUCGGAUUAGCUAGUUGGGGAGGUAAAGGCUCACCAAGGCGACGAUCCGUAACUGGUCUGAGAGGAUGAUCAGUCACACUGGAACUGAGACACGGUCCAGACUCCUACGGGAGGCAGCAGUGGGGAAUAUUGGACAAUGGGCGAAAGCCUGAUCCUGCCAUGCCGCGUGUGUGAAGAAGGUCUUCGGAUUGUAAAGCACUUUAAGUUGGGAGGAAGGGUUGUAGAUUAAUACUCUGCAAUUUUGACGUUACCGACAGAAUAAGCACCGGCUAACUCUGUGCCAGCAGCCGCAGUAA
Molecule: ribosomal RNA, 500 nt
Filed under: uncultured bacterium
Lineage: Bacteria
Description: partial 16S ribosomal RNA
Rfam family: Bacterial small subunit ribosomal RNA
Source: RNAcentral